Molecule: ribosomal RNA, 305 nt
Filed under: uncultured bacterium
Lineage: Bacteria
Description: bacterial SSU rRNA
Rfam family: Bacterial small subunit ribosomal RNA
Source: RNAcentral
UCCUACGGGGGGCAGCAGUGGGGAAUAUUGCACAAUGGGGGAAACCCUGAUGCAGCGACGCCGCGUGAAGGAAGAAGUAUUUCGGUAUGUAAACUUCUAUCAGCAGGGAAGAAAAUGACGGUACCUGACUAAGAGGCCCCGGCUAACUACGUGCCAGCAGCCGCGGUAAUACGUAGGGGGCAAGCGUUAUCCGGAUUUACUGGGUGUAAAGGGAGCGUAGGCGGCGAUGCAAGUCAGAAGUGAAAGCCCGGGGCUCAACCCCGGGACUGCAUUGAAAACUACCGAACUAGAGUGUCGGAGAGGUA